AAUUCAAACAACAUUACUAAUCAGAAGACGGGUGCCGGAAUCAUCCGUAAGAUACCGGGUUGGAUACGAAAAGGUGCAAAACCAGGAGGCAAAGUCGCCGGCAAAGCUUGUAAAAUUUGCUCAUGUAAAUACCAGAUUUGCAGCAAAUGUCCUAAAUGUCAUGACUAAAGUUAGGCCUUGAGACUAUGUACUUGUGCUGGUGUGAGUUUAAUUUUGAGAGUAAAGGGAAAGUUAUGAAUAGCCUAAUAUAAUUCUAUUACUAUGUUUUCUUAGUAAUUCUUAUUGUUGAAACUUGGAACAGGUCUUUGGGUCAAAAUGUACCUCUUGUCUUGUAGUCUUUCAACUGUAUAGUAUUGUACUGUAUUUUUCUUUAGCCACUUGAUAUCAAAUCCGAUUAAAUGUAAUUUGCGUUGCAUAUGUUUUACCACAGUCAGACCUUUCUAUAACAACAUUCGUAUAUAACAGCCUUUCAUUAUAAAAAUC
Molecule: long non-coding RNA, 483 nt
Filed under: Nicotiana tabacum (common tobacco)
Lineage: Eukaryota; Viridiplantae; Streptophyta; Magnoliopsida; Solanales; Solanaceae
Description: long non-coding RNA (NTAB_LNC008208)
Source: RNAcentral